AACUGAGACACGGUCCAAACUCCUACGGGAGGCAGCAGUGAGGAAUAUUGGUCAAUGGGCGGGAGCCUGAACCAGCCAAGUAGCGUGAAGGACGACGGCCCUACGGGUUGUAAACUUCUUUUAUAAGGGAAUAAAGUUCGCCACGUGUGGUGUUUUGUAUGUACCUUAUGAAUAAGCAUCGGCUAAUUCCGUGCCAGCAGCCGCGGUAAUACGGAAGAUGCGAGCGUUAUCCGGAUUUAUUGGGUUUAAAGGGAGCGUAGGCGGGCUUUUAAGUCAGCGGUCAAAUGUCGUGGCUCAACCAUGUCAAGCCGUUGAAACUGUAAGCCUUGAGUCUGCACAGGGCACAUGGAAUUCGUGGUGUAGCGGUGAAAUGCUUAGAUAUCACGAAGAACUCCGAUCGCGAAGGCAUUGUGCCGGGGCAUAACUGACGCUGAGGCUCGAAAGUGCGGGUAUCAAACAGGAUUAGAUACCCUGGUAGUCCGCACGGUAAACGAUGAAUGCUCGCUAUGGGCGAUAUAUUGUCCGUGGCCAAGCGAGAGCGUUAAGCAUUCCACCUGGGGAGUACGCCGGCAACGGUGAAACUCAAAGGAAUUGACGGGGG
This 601-nucleotide ribosomal RNA is filed under the name uncultured bacterium. RNAcentral's name for it is "bacterial SSU rRNA". It matches the Rfam family "Bacterial small subunit ribosomal RNA", at positions 317 to 919 of the family's 1533-position model. The record is from RNAcentral.